AUGGCAGCAUCCAAGCUCACCCGCACCUUGCCCAUCUCCUCCCUCGCCCCCACGCCUCACGCUGGCCCGGCCCUUCGCUCGCCGCCGACGACUGGAGCUGACACGGGCUUGAGCUGGACUUCAUCAAACAGCGUUGGCCGCGGCACGACCGUGGUGUGCGCUACUGGUGUCGACGGCCAGGACACCACCAUCCAUGGCCAUGGAAGCAGGUGGAAACCAACUGUCUGUGUGCUCCUUGGGGAGCUCAUCAACACAGGAACUAUACUAUUAGGCAAGGUAGCAGUUGAUGGCGGCAUGUUUAUAUUCUCAUUGCUCUGUUAUAGAAGCAUUCUAGGUGUCAUUUUCAUCAUGCCAUUUGCCCUACUCCUCGAAAGAGGGAAGUGGAAAGAAUUGGAUACAAAGGCUCUUGUGUGGCUCUCCAUCAAUGCUUUUGUCGGAUACUCGUUGCCUUUGGCAAUGUAUUACUAUGGGCUACAUGACACAAGCGCCUCCUAUGGUGUGAUCUUCUCAAGUUUGACUCCGCUCUUCACGUUUGUCCUGUCAAUAUUGCUUGGUAUGGAGAGCUUGCGCCUCAAAUCCAAAGAGGGCAGCGCGAAGGUGGUUGGUGCAUUGUUAUGUUUUGGUGGGGCUUUGCUGCUUAGCCUGUACAGCGGAAAGGAACUGCAUCUCUUUACCCCGGUUAUAAAAGGCAUCACUAAGAGUUCUAAUGGAGUAGCAGGAGGACAACAUCAUAUGAGGGGAACCUUGCUUUUGUUGGGUGAUUGCAUAUGUUAUGCAUUUUGGUAUCCCAUACAGGUGAAAGUUUUAAAGGUGUACCCAUGGAAACAUUGGUCAUCAACGUUGACUUGUGUUCUAGGUGGUUUGCAAACAUGUGUCGUAGGAAUAUUUGUGAGGAGGGACAAACUUGCUUGGCAAGUAGGAUGGAACAUUCAACUAUUAACAAUUGUCUACUCGGCUGCACUUGGCACAGCCGCCAAUUAUUGGUUGAAUCUAUACGCCGUGGAAAAGCGCGGACCUGUUUUUCCACCAAUGUUCAACACAUUAUCGAUUGUCUUCACCAUGGUUCUUGGGGCAUUAUUACUAGGAGAAGGCAUCACAGUUGGGAGCUUGUUAGGUAGUGCAUUGGUUUUCAGUGGUUUGUAUAUGUACCUCUAUGGAAAGGCCAGAGAACUCCGUGCGAAGAUGACAUCAGGGUGA
This 1197-nucleotide ribosomal RNA is filed under the name Triticum aestivum (bread wheat). Its description in RNAcentral is "partial small subunit ribosomal RNA". Lineage: Eukaryota; Viridiplantae; Streptophyta; Magnoliopsida; Poales; Poaceae. The record is from RNAcentral.